UGGGGAAUUUUGGACAAUGGGCGAAAGCCUGAUCCAGCAAUGCCGCGUGUGCGAAGAAGGCCUUCGGGUUGUAAAGCACUUUUGUCCGGAAAGAAAUCCUUGGCUCUAAUACAGUCGGGGGAUGACGGUACCGGAAGAAUAAGCACCGGCUAACUACGUGCCAGCAGCCGCGGUAAUACGUAGGGUACAAGCGUUAAUCGGAAUUACUGGGCGUAAAGCGUGCGCAGGCGGUUUGCUAAGACCGAUGUGAAAUCCCCGGGCUCAACCUGGGAACUGCAUUGGUGACUGGCAGGCUAGAGUAUGGCAGAGGGGGGUAGAAUUCCACGUGUAGCAGUGAAAUGCGUAGAGAUGUGGAGGAAUACCGAUGGCGAAGGCAGCCCCCUGGGCCAAUACUGACGCUCAUGCACGAAAGCGUGGGGAGCAAACAGGAUUAGAUACCCUGGUAGUCCACGCCCUAAACGAUGUCAACUAGUUGUUGGGGAUUCAUUUCCUUAGUAACGUAGCUAACGCGUGAAGUUGACCGCCUGGGGAGUACGGUCGCAAGAUUAAAACUUAAAUGAAUUGAC
RNAcentral lists this ribosomal RNA (566 nucleotides) under uncultured bacterium. Its description in RNAcentral is "partial 16S ribosomal RNA". It matches the Rfam family "Bacterial small subunit ribosomal RNA", at positions 355 to 914 of the family's 1533-position model. The record is from RNAcentral.